RNAcentral lists this ribosomal RNA (436 nucleotides) under uncultured bacterium. RNAcentral describes it as "bacterial SSU rRNA". It matches the Rfam family "Bacterial small subunit ribosomal RNA", at positions 954 to 1392 of the family's 1533-position model. The record is from RNAcentral.
AUGGGAACGCGAAGAACCUUACCUAGACUUGACAUCUCCUGAAUAGUGUAGAGAUACAUGAAGCCCUUCGGGGCAGGAAGACAGGUGGUGCAUGGUUGUCGUCAGCUCGUGUCGUGAGAUGUUGGGUUAAGUCCCGCAACGAGCGCAACCCUUAUUACUAGUUGCUAACAUUAAGUUGAGCACUCUAGUGAGACUGCCCGGGUUAACCGGGAGGAAGGUGGGGAUGACGUCAAAUCAUCAUGCCCCUUAUGUCUAGGGCUACACACGUGCUACAAUGGUGGGAACAAAGAGAUGCAAGACCGCGAGGUGGAGCUAAACUCAAAACCCCAUCCCAGUUCGGAUUGCAGGCUGAAACUCGCCUACAUGAAGCUGGAGUUGCUAGUAAUCGCGAAUCAGAAUGUCGCGGUGAAUACGUUCCCGGGUCUUGUACACACCG